Molecule: long non-coding RNA, 636 nt
Organism: Echinops telfairi (small Madagascar hedgehog)
Lineage: Eukaryota; Metazoa; Chordata; Mammalia; Afrosoricida; Tenrecidae
Exons: 2
Source: RefSeq, a predicted model, not a curated record
UUGGUCUACAUUAUAAAUAUUAAAAAAAAGUUUUUCUUCCUUCACGAGGAAAUCCAUUUAAACAGAUGGAUGUUUAAAAAGCUUUUAAAAAUAAGCCUGGCUGUCUUGUCUGGCCUUCCUCAGCUGCAUUCGCGUCCAGCAGCACCUGUCAGUGAGCUUGAGAAAAGGCCCCGAGGCGGGUCCUCCCUGAGUGGAGCCGCUGCCUGUCUGCGGUUGGGAUGAAGCCGCGCAACGCAGGUGGGCACCGGAAUCAGACCCAGAGCUGCCUGCCAUUCAGGAUGCACUCACCGAGGCUGUCUACGCUGUGAUUGAAUUAUAUUCAAUGAAACCUAAACGGGAACUGCUGCAUUCCGCUGCUUCACGCGUGGAGAGCCACAAAGAAGAUACGUGACAACUCUGAAGUAACUGGGACAUUCCAAAUCAUCACCUUCAUACCCUCAGCUCACUGCCAUCAAGGCCAUGCCGCUCCCAGGGACUGGCUCUCUGGGUUUCUUUACAGGCACAGAAAGGCCCCCACCGCCUGUAUUCUCGAUUUCCCACUAGGCUGCACACGCCUCUUAUCCCCAGGACGUGUGUAGCCGCAGCGCUCAUGCUCAAUCCACUUCUCAAAUAAACAGCGGACAGGUUUCAUAAUCA